Molecule: ribosomal RNA, 400 nt
Filed under: uncultured bacterium
Lineage: Bacteria
Description: bacterial SSU rRNA
Rfam family: Bacterial small subunit ribosomal RNA
Source: RNAcentral
GGGGAAUCUUAGACAAUGGGGGAAACCCUGAUCUAGCCAUGCCGCGUGAUCGAUGAAGGCCUUAGGGUUGUAAAGAUCUUUCAGGUGGGAAGAUAAUGACUGUACCACCAGAAGAAGCCCCGGCUAACUCCGUGCCAGCAGCCGCGGUAAUACGGAGGGGGCUAGCGUUGUUCGGAAUUACUGGGCGUAAAGCGCACGUAGGCGGAUUGGAAAGUUGGGGGUGAAAUCCCGGGGCUCAACCCCGGAACUGCCUUCAAAACUCCCAGUCUUGAGUUCGAGAGAGGUGAGUGGAAUUCCGAGUGUAGAGGUGAAAUUCGUAGAUAUUCGGAGGAACACCAGUGGCGAAGGCGGCUCACUGGCUCGAUACUGACGCUGAGGGGCGAAAGCGUGGGGAGCAAAC